Molecule: long non-coding RNA, 2486 nt
Filed under: Equus asinus (donkey)
Lineage: Eukaryota; Metazoa; Chordata; Mammalia; Perissodactyla; Equidae
Description: lncRNA (ENSEASG00005030577.1)
Source: RNAcentral
CUGCAAUCACUAUUGAUAUUAAAAUUAUCAUAAAAAAUUAUUUUUAGAAUUUCCAUACUUUGAUUAGAGUACCUCUGCAGAUUCACAUAAUUUGCAGCAUGUCUGAAGUCCAAAAUCAAUUCUUUUCAUGAAGAUUUUGAUUAUAUAAUUCAAUUUGGUUGAACACAAAUGUUUACAUUUUCACAUUCUCAAACAUUUAUGAAAACAAUGUUAGUUUAAAAUGAAUAAAAACAGUAUAGGAAAUAUAUAGAGUUCAGAUUGAUUAUCCUUUCUGUGAGAAAAUAAAGCAAAUUUUGCAUAGACUAGAACAUUAUGCUAACAUCAUUUUUAUACUGUGAUAAAAUCAGGAGGGCGUCAUAGAAAAGUAGUCUAUUUCCUAAGGAUUGCCUUUGACUAGAAAUAUUGUUUGAGGGUGAAACCGGCAAACAGCCAUUGAUGAUUAAGCAUCUAGGUACUCAAGUUUUUUCCUUUUUGCAGUUACUGAUUACAGGUUUUAGCUGUGUAGCCCACCCAUUGUUAACUGUGCUGCUUAGGCAAUCUGCUACCUGACUCCCCCCAGGCUCCUACAGAUAACAUCUCCCUGGAGCCUGGGUCACCAUGGUAAUGGGUGUGUGAGCUGUUUUUCAGGAAUUAGAACUCCUUGUCCACUUCAGGCCAGUUGAGGCCACCAACCCCUCAACUGGGCCCACACAGAUAUCUGAUAGGCGACCUUUUGACAUCAAGAAGCUAAAAACUCCACCCUCUGAUCAUGCUAACACCACCAUUUUGUGAACAUGGGUCCUAUGAAGAGGCAUGGAGUCUGACUAUGCUUGCGCAGAUCAUGGAUUACCUCACCUCUCCUCACCUCCAAUCACCUCUCUCCACAUUUCAGACCACCUUGCCCCCAUCCCAUAAAUAUCCCUGAGUCCCUAUUUUUGGGGAAGCCAAUUUGGGGCUCAUGCUCUGGCUUCCUCACAUGGCUGCCUUGGAAGUAAACUCUCUCUCUGCUGCGAUGUCAUCGUCUUGGUGUUUGGCUUUCUGGGCGGCGGGCAAAAACGAACCUGGUUCAGUAACAAAUGGCGAGCCAGCCAGGAGCUAAGUGCAGAUGGACCUUUUUGCCCGAGAUUCGUGAGCCCCUUUCCAGUAUGGAGGACCUGUGGGUGCGUCCAGCAGCUGCCGGGUGCAUUUCUCCUGGGACUGUUCUGGGACUCUUUCCUGGCUUGGCGCUGCCGACUGCUUGGUGCAUAGUUUCACUUUCAGUAGAGAGACAGCUUCUUGGUUUGGAAGAUGUCUUUUUGAAUGGACAUGCCCUCAGAGUCAGCACUGGACGUGAUGCAGACACGCAGCCUUUAUUCUACAUUUACUGGUCGAAUAAGCUGAUGCAAUCUCUGUCACCAAACUGAAAUACUUCUUAUUAAAUACCUGGUUACUUGCUAACACAAUAUGGGCUGAACUUUGGGAGCCCACCUGCAUCACCGUCUCACUAAGGGACUGGUCCAAUGAGAUGGAACAACCUAUGCUCCUCACCAACAGGAUAACCCCUCAAGAUUGAAGAUGAACAACAAAAGGGGGGAUUGAUACGGGUUAACACAAGGUUAACAUAAGGGAAGCCAUAUUGUAAAGAAGAAACCAUAUUGUAACUUUGAAUGACCUCUGAUUAACUAACCCAGACAUGCUCUGUAGAUUUUAUGGACCCUGUCAGCUGCUAUAAUUUGAUAAGUUUGUUCUUUUGAGUUCCUUAGGAAUGUGAUGACCCCCAGGUAGAGAGUCUGUGCUGAUGGCCAUCAUCAUUGACAACUGAAAGAUCAGGGUAUAGGCCAUUGCUCUGGUCUCUGAUGCAUCUCCAGUAAAACAAAAGACUAUCAGAAACUGAGACCAGAUGUCUUCCCCACCUGGAGAACAGAUGGAGGCCCCACUGGGAUUAGGUCUAUUUUUCAGGGACUGUUAAAAUUUGGGUUGUCUAUACUUCUUGUCCUUCUGAUAAGCCAGGAACAUGAGAAUAUUUCCAAAUGAGUGCUAAAAAUGUCAUUCCUUUAACCCAGAUCUAUGCCCCAAUUGAGCAGGAAGUAGCUAGAUCGGUCAUCGCCCCAAAUCCCUCAAGAAUGAGAAGUGACCAAACAAUAGGGGGGAUUGAAACCAGCAAACAGCCAUUGAUGAUUAAGUAUCUAGGUACUAAAGUUUUUUCCUCUUUGCAGUUACUGAUUAUAGCUUUUAGCUGUUGAACCCAGCCAUUGGUAACUGUGCUGUUUAGGCAAUCUGCUACCUGACUCCCACCAGGGUCCUAUAGAUAACAUCUCCCUGGAGCCUGGGUCACCAUGGUAAUGGGGUGUGUGAGCUGUUUUUCAGGAAUUAGAACUCCUUGUCCACUUCAGGCCAGUUGAGGCCACCAACCUCUCAACGGGGCUCAAGCAGAUGUCUGAUAGGCAACCUUUCGACAUCAAGAGGCUAAAAACUCCACCCUCUGAUCAUGCUAAUACCGCCAUUUUGUGAACAUGGGUCCUAUGAAG